This 817-nucleotide ribosomal RNA is filed under the name Palmaria palmata (dulse). RNAcentral describes it as "eukaryotic LSU rRNA". It matches the Rfam family "Eukaryotic large subunit ribosomal RNA", at positions 244 to 1146 of the family's 3401-position model. The record is from RNAcentral. Lineage: Eukaryota; Rhodophyta; Florideophyceae; Palmariales; Palmariaceae.
UACAAGGACGCUUCAACCGAGUCGGGUAGCUUGGGAAUGCUGCUCUAAUUGGUGGUAAAUCUCAUCAAAGGCUAAAUAGUGGUGGGAGACCGAUAGCGAACAAGUACCGUGAGGGAAAGAUGGAAAGAACUUUGAAAAGAGAGUGAAAAGCACUUGAAACCGUCACGGGGGAAGCGGAUUGCGUGAGUGAUGGUGUCGCUUGUUCAGCGCUUUAUUGCGUGCAUUCUGGCGGCGCCGUGCCGGCGUGGCUGGCUGGACUGUGAUUUUGACAGUCUCGGCUGGUGAGGGCUCCCUCGUAUGAGGUGAGGACGCGGGCAAAAUGACGCAAUACGACCCGUCUUGAAACACGGACCAAGGAGUCUAGCACGGCUGCGAGUCGAAGAGUGAUUAAACUCAAGGGCGCAGUGAAAGCGAAAUUAUAAGCAAAUUGGGGAGGCGUUGCGUUUUUAACAAAAUGUCCUACCUCGAGCAUUUGUGCUGGGACCCGAAAGAUGGUGAACUAUGCCGGAGUAGGGCAAAGCCAGAGGAAACUCUGGUGGAGGCUCGUAGCGAUGCUGACGUGCAAAUCGCUCGUCGAACUUGGGUAUAGGGGCGAAAGACUAAUCGAACCAUCUAGUAGCUGGUUCCCUCCGAAGUUUCUCUCAGGAUAGCGGGCCGACACGCGUUUGUUGUUUUGUGCGGUAAAGCGAAUGAUUAGUGCAUUUGGGGUACGAAGUACUUCGGGCGAUUCUCAAACUUUAAAUGCGCAAGGGGGUGGCUGCUUAAUUGAGCCUACUCUUUGAAAAACGUCGGCCCUGUGGGCCACUUUUGGUAAGCA